UUGGUCAGGUUGAAGUUCAGGUAACACUGAAUGGAGGACCGAACCGACUUACGUUGAAAAGUGAGCGGAUGAACUGAGGGUAGCGGAGAAAUUCCAAUCGAACUUGGAGAUAGCUGGUUCUCUCCGAAAUAGCUUUAGGGCUAGCCUCAAGUGAUGAUUAUUGGAGGUAGAGCACUGUUUGGACGAGGGGCCCCUCUCGGGUUACCGAAUUCAGACAAACUCCGAAUGCCAAAUAAUUUAACUUGGGAGUCAGAAUGUGGGUGAUAAGGUCCAUAUUCGAAAGGGAAACAGCCCAGACCACCAGCUAAGGUCCCAAAAUAUAUGUUAAGUGGAAAAGGAUGUGGCGUUGCCCAGACAACUAGGAUGUUGGCUUAGAAGCAGCCAUCAUUUAAAGAGUGCGUAAUAGCUCACUAGUCGAGUGACACUGCGCCGAAAAUGUACCGGGGCUAAACAUAUUACCGAAGCUGUGGAUUGUCCUUUGGACAAUGGUAGGAGAGCGUUCUAAGGGCGUUGAAGCAUGAUCGCAAGGACAUGUGGAGCGCUUAGAAGUGAGAAUGCCGGUGUGAGUAGCGAAAGACGGGUGAGAAUCCCGUCCACCGAUUGACUAAGGUUUCCAGAGGAAGGCUCGUCCGCUCUGGGUUAGUCGGGUCCUAAGCUGAGGCCGACAGGCGUAGGCGAUGGAUAACAGGUUGAUAUUCCUGUACCACCAUUAUUCGUUUUAAGCGAUGGGGGGACGCAGUAGGAUAGGCGAAGCGUGCUGUUGGAGUGCACGUCCAAGCAGUGAGAUUGAGUGUUAGGCAA
RNAcentral lists this ribosomal RNA (801 nucleotides) under Staphylococcus pseudintermedius. Its description in RNAcentral is "partial 23S ribosomal RNA". It matches the Rfam family "Bacterial large subunit ribosomal RNA", at positions 736 to 1539 of the family's 2925-position model. The record is from RNAcentral. Lineage: Bacteria; Bacillati; Bacillota; Bacilli; Caryophanales; Staphylococcaceae.